Molecule: long non-coding RNA, 1272 nt
Organism: Cygnus olor (mute swan)
Lineage: Eukaryota; Metazoa; Chordata; Aves; Anseriformes; Anatidae
Exons: 6
Source: RefSeq, a predicted model, not a curated record
CUAUUUCCAGCUCUGUCAAUCCUGCAUCCUGGAUGGACUGUAUCAUGUUGUGUUCUGUGCCUUUUGGAGGUAACUACAGAACAGUGUGAUCAAACUAUUCUUAACUUCUUCCUGUAAUGGGGCCUAGAAACAGAUGGUGAAGAGUGAUGUUAUGGAAGAAACAGCUGGAUAAAGAACAUAAGAUGCAGAAGUUCUUUUGCCGGUUAGAAGUCUUCUAGUCAGUGGAUGAAUCAGUUAAAAGAACAGCCACAGCAGGCCUUAUUUGACAUAGCUGCUGAUUACAGCAGUAGAAAAUAAAACCUGAAUGAGCAUGGAGUGUUUAGCUGCUCUAUCAGUCCAAGAUGAGAAGCCUAACCAUAUAGAGAAGGUAGAACUGGAAGGUGAAAACCAGGGGACACGAGACAUUACAGCUUGCAUGCUACAGACACGAGGAGACAUCUUAUCUGAUGGAAAGGAAUUUCAGGCUGUGUGGUAAAAACAUACAACAGUUAGUCAGGAAUCAUGCUAUUUACUUUCUAAUUAUGGUUCCUCCAACUACUAGCUGCAUAUACAUAGAACAACAUUUAACUCCAGAAUUAAAAGGCACUCAAAGUUCUAGGCUGAUACACAAGACUGUGUGAAUAUACCAGGGGUGGAACAGCUUCUGAUAUGUAUGAUUGUUUUAAUGGUAGAAUGUCAGUGGGGAAUAGUGCUGAUUUUCAAGGGAAGAUGUGUACUUCCUUGGUGAGGCACUAUUGAACAGAUAAGUAUUACCUGAACAAAGACCAAAGGGGAGGCUGAACAGAUUCAGGUUCAGUCCAGAAGUAGAUCAGCCAGUGCAGCUGGGUCUCUGGAGUGGGAGACAGGAGGCAGCGGGAGUAGGGGCAAGGAGAAAUGAGAUGGCAGUGCUGACACCAAAGGAGGAGGUGAGAGGGAACUAGAUGCACUAGUUUUCAUCUCUUACUCUGAUAAAGUCUUCAAAAAAAAAGUUAGGGUUGGCUAUGCUGUAUUGAGUUGUGUGGGUGGGUGUGCUUUCAGGGAAUACAGGCAAUUGGAUAAAUUGUCUCUCAUAGGAUGGAAAUGAUCUGCUGUUACUUGUAUUCUCUGCUUGUUUCAUUGUGUGCAAAUAGUGUGCUGUGACUGGAUAUACUUCUUUAAUGUGCCUAAAGAAAAGUGGUUCUGUACUUCUGUAGAAAUGGGAAGACAUUACUAUCACUGUACUUUCCCGUUGCAUGAAAAUGAAACAAGUAAUACUUAGGAUCUGAUUAUUUUCAUGUAAAGAAAUUGACUAUA